CUCAAAGUGUUUCUUCAAUCAUGUUUAUGGACAUUAUCUGCACGAUGACACAGCAGCGCUGACUGGAAUCUCUAGCACGUGAUUACAGAGGGCCCUGUUACAUCACAGAAUGUUUCAACAGCUCCUCCAGAGAGGCGAUGGCACAGUGCGACUGUCACCUGGGGACCCAGUUACAAAAUAAACGAGAGCAGAUGAUGGAAUUGGAAAUAAAUCAAAAUCUGGAAUUAAAUAUUUAAUGUGGUCAUUGUCAAUUGUUGUAAAAACUCAUGGUAACAUACUUGAGAAAGACAACAGCAGCCCUUAGUUGCUGCAGAGUGAUACAAACAGUGUGGCUGAGCUUCCUCGACCAUCCCCCCAGCCUGAGAUGCGGUCACCCUCGGGAUCAGCUCACUACCAGUCAUCUCUCUCCAUUCCAUGUUUGAGGAUUUCCAAUUGGGUCCCUGCCUCUUAUCAACGACAAGAAAAACUUUCCUCAUUCCUGAAGAAGGGCUCAUGCCCGAAACGUCGAUUCUCCUGCUCCUUGGAUGCUGCCUGACCUGCUGUGCUUUUCCAGCAACACAUUUUCAGCACUUAUCAACAACACAGAUUACCGACAGAGGCAAGGAAAGAUACUCUCAUUCCUCCCCUCCCUUGGUGUUCCAGUCUCCUCACAAUAAACGAUGAAACCACCUGAUGAAGGAGCAGCGCUCUGAAAGCUAAUGCUUCCAAAUAAACCUGUUGGACUAUAACUUGAUGUUGUGUGAUUUUUAACUUUGUCCACCCCAGUCCAACACCGGCUCCUCCACAUCAUGACAAUGAAUCGUCGCAUUCUAUUGGGGAUGGUAAUUAUUCGCUGUACCUGCACACUAACCAUCUACAAUUCCUCUGCAUCCACAGCUCAUGUUAUUUCCUCAAAGGACUCCAGUAUUUUGCAAGGUUUGUGAAGGUUUGUAGCUCAGGUUGAGGUUUA
Non-coding RNA from Chiloscyllium plagiosum (whitespotted bambooshark), 949 nucleotides. Lineage: Eukaryota; Metazoa; Chordata; Chondrichthyes; Orectolobiformes; Hemiscylliidae. The record is from RefSeq and is a predicted model, not a curated record.